Molecule: ribosomal RNA, 453 nt
Filed under: uncultured bacterium
Lineage: Bacteria
Description: bacterial SSU rRNA
Rfam family: Bacterial small subunit ribosomal RNA
Source: RNAcentral
UACGGGAGGCAGCAGUAGGGAAUAUUGCACAAUGGGCGCAAGCCUGAUGCAGCCAUGCCGCGUGUAUGAAGAAGGCCUUCGGGUUGUAAAGUACUUUCAGUCGUGAGGAAGGUGUUAAGGUUAAUAACCUUAGCAAUUGACGUUAGCGACAGAAGAAGCACCGGCUAACUCCGUGCCAGCAGCCGCGGUAAUACGGAGGGUGCGAGCGUUAAUCGGAAUUACUGGGCGUAAAGGGCACGCAGGCGGUUAAUUAAGUUGGAUGUGAAAUCCCCGGGCUUAACCUGGGAAUGGCAUUCAAGACUGGUUAGCUAGAGUCUUGUAGAGGGGGUAGAAUUCCAUGUGUAGCGGUGAAAUGCGUAGAGAUGUGGAGGAAUACCGGUGGCGAAGGCGGCCCCUGGGACAAAGACUGACGCUCAUGUGCGAAAGCGUGGGGAGCAAACAGGAUUAGAUACC